This 902-nucleotide ribosomal RNA is filed under the name uncultured eukaryote. Its description in RNAcentral is "SSU rRNA". It matches the Rfam family "Eukaryotic small subunit ribosomal RNA", at positions 629 to 1522 of the family's 1831-position model. The record is from RNAcentral.
CGGUGUUUAACUGGCGUGAUGUGGGACGUCCUACCGGUGGGCUUAGCUCGCGAGGGGCGGCCCAACUAAUAUCCCGUCGCGGUGCUCUUUACUGAGUGUCGAGUCGGGCGUACGUUUACUUUGACAAUAGAGUGCUAAAGCAGCUAUCCUCCGCUGAAUACUGCGUGCAUGGAAUAAAUGGAAUAAGACCUCGGUUCUAUUUUGUUGGUUUCGGAACCCGAGGUAAUGAUUAUAGGGACAGAUGGGGGCAUUCGUAUGCGACGUUAGAGGUGAAAUUCUUGGAUCGUCGCAAGACGGACAGAAGCGAAAGCAUUUGCCAAAAAUGUUUUCAUUAAUCAAGAACGAAAGUUAGAGGUUCGAAGGCGAUCAGAUACCGCCCUAGUUCUAACCAUAAACGAUGCCAGCUAGCGAUCCGCCGAAGUUCCUCCGAUGACUCGGCGGGCAGCUUCCGGGAAACCAAAGCUUUUGGGUUCCGGGGGAAGUAUGGUUGCAAAGCUGAAACUUAAAGGAAUUGACGGAAGGGCACCACCAGGAGUGGAGCCUGCGGCUUAAUUUGACUCAACACGGGAAACCUCACCAGGCCCAGACACCGGAAGGAUUGACAGAUUGAUAGCUCUUUCUUGAUUCGGUGGGUGGUGGUGCAUGGCCGUUCUUAGUUGGUGGAGCGAUUUGUCUGGUUAAUUCCGAUAACGAACGAGACUCUAGCCUGCUAAAUAGGCGUACCUUAUGGUAUCGCGAAGGCCCCCGGCUUCGGCCGGUGGGUUUUUACUACCAACGUACAAACAAAUCUUCUUAGAGGGACAGGCGGCUUCUAGCCGCACGAGAUUGAGCAAUAACAGGUCUGUGAUGCCCUUAGAUGUUCUGGGCCGCACGCGCGCUACACUGAAGGAAUCAGCGUGUGU